GACGAACGCUGGCGGCGUGCUUAACACAUGCAAGUCGAACGGAAAGGCCCUGCUUUUGUGGGGUGCUCGAGUGGCGAACGGGUGAGUAACACGUGAGUAACCUGCCCUUGACUUUGGGAUAACUUCAGGAAACUGGGGCUAAUACCGGAUAGGAGCUCCUGCUGCAUGGUGGGGGUUGGAAAGUUUCGGCGGUUGGAGAUGGACUCGCGGCUUAUCAGCUUGUUGGUGGGGUAGUGGCUUACCAAGGCUUUGACGGGUAGCCGGCCUGAGAGGGUGACCGGCCACAUUGGGACUGAGAUACGGCCCAGACUACUACGGGAGGCAGCAGUGGGGAAUAUUGCACAAUGGGCGGAAGCCUGAUGCAGCAACGCCGCGUGCGGGAUGACGGCCUUCGGGUUGUAAACCGCUUUCGCCUGUGACGAAGCGUGAGUGACGGUAAUGGGUAAAGAAGCACCGGCUAACUACGUG
This 468-nucleotide ribosomal RNA is filed under the name uncultured bacterium. RNAcentral's name for it is "partial 16S ribosomal RNA". It matches the Rfam family "Bacterial small subunit ribosomal RNA", at positions 28 to 507 of the family's 1533-position model. The record is from RNAcentral.